AAUAGAUACCCAGGUAGUCCAUGCCGUAAACGUUGGGCACUAGGUGUGGGGCUCAUUCCACGAGUUCCGUGCCGCAGCAAACGCAUUAAGUGCCCCGCCUGGGGAGUACGGCCGCAAGGCUAAAACUCAAAGGAAUUGACGGGGGCCCGCACAAGCGGCGGAGCAUGCGGAUUAAUUCGAUGCAACGCGAAGAACCUUACCAAGGCUUGACAUGCACGGGAAGCCACCAGAGAUGGUGGUCUCUUUGGACACUGGUGAACAGGUGGUGCAUGGUUGUCGUCAGCUCGUGUCGUGAGAUGUUGGGUUAAGUCCCGCAACGAGCGCAACCCUCGUUCUAUGUUGCCAGCACGUAAUGGUGGGAACUCAUGGGAUACUGCCGGGGUCAACUCGGAGGAAGGUGGGGAUGACGUCAAAUCAUCAUGCCCCUUAUGUCUUGGGCUUCACGCAUGCUACAAUGGCCGGUACAAAGGGCUGCAAUACCGUGAGGUGGAGCGAAUCCCAAAAAGCCGGUCCCAGUUCGGA
Molecule: ribosomal RNA, 522 nt
Filed under: uncultured bacterium
Lineage: Bacteria
Description: bacterial SSU rRNA
Rfam family: Bacterial small subunit ribosomal RNA
Source: RNAcentral